CCACCCAGCUCCAGCUGAUCUUUUUACAUCUAUGCGCCGCAGCUUCUGGCGCGAUGACGAUGACGUCAUCGCGUCUUUUCGACGCGACACGCCCACGUCAGUAUGCCUAUUUAAGUGUGCUCCAGCCGUCCUCUCGGCGUGGAGCACAGGCUGCUACCUCCCCGGGACACACACUACUUCGUAGGCUUCAAGGUAAAACUUUAUUCUGAUCUCCGCUUACUUGCUAUUUUUAUCCGCUGUGCAUACUGGUUACUAUGGCUAUUUUAUACACAGGUCUCUAAAGCCUUCUGAUCUGCCCUUUAUUGUGGACAGUACAGUGGGGUCACCUAGCGACGGAAUCUAUUUUCCCUCAAGGUCUUUUCCACCUGUUUUCUGCCUUGCUGGUCCCGGUUGUUGCCUUUUAUACUACCCUUGAGAAUCUAAUAGUACUGUGGCUUCCCAUACCAUCAGGAGAUCGUUUCUUUCUCCUUGUUACCCGGCUAACGCACUUAUUUUUGGCACUACCCCAAUGAUGUGUGAUGGAUGCGGAUGACCACCAACUCAAUUGGUACUAUAUUUGGCUUCAUUGCAUGCUGACUCUCAAUAUUUUAUUAGAUUAUGUCUUUAUGUUAUCUGUAUGUUAUAAAUGUAUAAUUCUCUUUCAGACACAUACAAGUAGCAAUACUUCCAUGUUAUAAAACCAUACAACUCGUCCAGAAGAAGCCGCAAGGCGAAACGCGUCGGCGAGACGUUUUAUUGCUCAAAUAUGUAUCUAUGUUCUCUUUUUUGAUAACAUUUUUUAAUAAGAAAUUUAUUUGUAUAC
Rana temporaria (common frog) is the source of this 802-nucleotide long non-coding RNA. RefSeq lists it as uncharacterized. Lineage: Eukaryota; Metazoa; Chordata; Amphibia; Anura; Ranidae. The transcript is spliced from 3 exons. The record is from RefSeq and is a predicted model, not a curated record.